CCUACGGGAGGCAGCAGUGAGGAAUAUUGGUCAAUGGCCGUAAGUCUGAACCAGCCAAGUCGCGUGAAGGAAGACGGCCCUACGGUUUGUAAACUUCUUUUAUAGGGGAAUAAAGGUAUCCACGUGUGUACCUUUUCAUGUAUCCUAUGAAUAAGCAUAGGCUAACUCGGUGCAACCAGCGGCGGUAGUACGGAGGAUGCGAGCGUUAUCGGGAUUUUUUGGGUUUAAAGGGUGCGAGGGUUGUUUUUUAGGACAGCGGUAAAAUGUCCGGGCUCAACCCGGACCGGCAGUUGAAACUGGGGGUCUUGAGUGGGCGAGAAGUAGGCGGAAUGCAUGGUGUAGCGGUGAAAUGCAUAGAUAUCACGAAGAACUCCGAUUGCGAAGGCAGCAUACCGGGGCGCGACUGACGCUGAGGUACGAAAGCGUGGGGAUCGAACAGGAUUAGAUACCCCAGUAGUC
RNAcentral lists this ribosomal RNA (459 nucleotides) under uncultured bacterium. Its description in RNAcentral is "partial 16S ribosomal RNA". It matches the Rfam family "Bacterial small subunit ribosomal RNA", at positions 338 to 795 of the family's 1533-position model. The record is from RNAcentral.